UGGGGAAUAUUGCACAAUGGGGGAAACCCUGAUGCAGCGACGCCGCGUGAACGAAGAAGGUAUUCGUAUCGUAAAGUUCUGUCCUAUGGGAAGAUAAUGACAGUACCAUAGAAGAAAGCUCCGGAUAAAUACGUGCCAGCAGCCGCGGUAAUACGUAUGGAGCGAGCGUUGUCUGGAAUUAUUUGGCGUAAAGGGUACGCAGGCGGUUUAAUAAGUCGAAUGUGAAAGAUCGGGGCUCAACCCCGCAAAGCAUUGGAAACUGAUAAACUUGAGUAGAGGAGAGGAAAGUGUAAUUCCUAGUGUAGUGGUGAAAUACGUAGAUAUUAGGAGGAAUACCAGUAGCGAAGGCGACUUUCUGGACACAAACUGACGCUGCGGUACGAAAGCGUGGGGGGCAAACAGG
Molecule: ribosomal RNA, 403 nt
Filed under: bacterium
Lineage: Bacteria
Description: partial 16S ribosomal RNA
Rfam family: Bacterial small subunit ribosomal RNA
Source: RNAcentral